Molecule: unclassified non-coding RNA, 279 nt
Organism: Dipodomys ordii (Ord's kangaroo rat)
Lineage: Eukaryota; Metazoa; Chordata; Mammalia; Rodentia; Heteromyidae
Gene: 7SK
Rfam family: 7SK RNA
About the family: 7SK was discovered as an abundant small nuclear RNA in the mid-70s but a possible function has only recently been suggested. Two independent studies have found that 7SK RNA binds the CDK9/cyclin T complex (known as elongation factor P-TEFb).
Source: Ensembl
GGAUAUGAGGGUGAUCUCUUGGUGACAUUUCUCACCCCUUUGUUUACCAGGGUGGAGUCAGAUGAGGCUGGCUAGGCAGGUGUCCCCUUCCUCCCGCCCCACUCUACAUGCAUCUCCCACCCCCACCCCCCAGCUGUAUUCUUGGAAAGAGAGGGGGAGCUUCUCUGAAGAGCCUGUCUUUAGACAAGGCUAUAUGAGUAACUGCUCUCCCCGCUUGAACCUCCAAACAAGCUGUCAGGAUAAGUGUGGAAAGCUGAGAGUUUCAAAACAUUUUUUUUU